Molecule: ribosomal RNA, 467 nt
Filed under: uncultured bacterium
Lineage: Bacteria
Description: partial 16S ribosomal RNA
Rfam family: Bacterial small subunit ribosomal RNA
Source: RNAcentral
GAUGAACGCUGGCGGCGUGCUUAACACAUGCAAGUCGAACGGAAAGGCCCAAGCUUGCUUGGGUACUCGAGUGGCGAACGGGUGAGUAACACGUGGGUGAUCUGCCCUGCACUUCGGGAUAAGCCUGGGAAACUGGGUCUAAUACCGGAUAGGACCACUUCUUGGAUGUUGUGGUGGAAAGUUUUUUCGGUGUGGGAUGAGCUCGCGGCCUAUCAGCUUGUUGGUGGGGUAAUGGCCUACCAAGGCGUCGACGGGUAGCCGGCCUGAGAGGGUGUACGGCCACAUUGGGACUGAGAUACGGCCCAAACUCCUACGGGAGGCAGCAGUGGGGAAUAUUGCACAAUGGGCGCAAGCCUGAUGCAGCGACGCCGCGUGGGGGAUGACGGCCUUCGGGUUGUAAACUCCUUUCGCUAGGGACGAAGCGUUUUUGUGACGGUACCUAGAGAAGAAGCACCGGCUAACUACGU